Long non-coding RNA from Dermacentor albipictus, 4827 nucleotides. RefSeq lists it as uncharacterized. Lineage: Eukaryota; Metazoa; Arthropoda; Arachnida; Ixodida; Ixodidae. The record is from RefSeq and is a predicted model, not a curated record.
CGGAGGCAGCGAGAGAGGCGUGAACGCCGUCCCCUACGUCACCAAAAUGCCGCAGCGAAACCUCUCCGCUAUGUAGCGGGCGUCGGAAGAAACGCGUGUCCCUCUCCCCAGACUCUAUAGACAAACUGUUCGCGACGUUCUCAGUCGCAAUACGGGCGCACCGGAUUAACGGCUAUGACGGCUCGGCUCCUGACGAUCCUGCUCUCCCUCUCCGCAGUCGGUAUGUCCCUACCGUACAGGGAGUGGCCGUCCGCGAGAGGCAUAUCAAGGCUCCAUUCCGGAUGCGUCGAAGGGGAGAACUUGGUUCAUCCUCACGGUGACGCCUACUACUUGACAUGCGCUAACGGGGCACUUAGGCAACGACGGUGUGGCAUGGGUCGGCUAUUCUCCGCCCACGCUGGGAAGUGCGUGAACGCUCGGGCUACUCAACGUGAAAGCGGUGCCAUUGAGCGACUUCCUUUACCAGACACCGCACACCUUCAACACGAACGCCGAUACUUGCGCUCAACUGCCUCCUCCGGCCGUGGUGAUCAGUCCAGUUACAAGACAAGAGCGAAGUUGCCCGCCAAUAGCAAGAACGGCAUACAUUUAAAGAAGACAGAAGAAAGAGAGAAAGCUGUACUGAAUGGAAAUGCUUUCAAUGGAGAUCUCAGAUACGAAAGGUUUCAAGAUAUUCGUUCAAGACGGCAGAAAAUGCGAAUCUCCGCCGAUCGACGGAGAACUGACACGGCACGUCCUAUGGCCUGCAUUGGUUGCUUCCGCAAGCUCUCUGCUGCGGAAAAAGUUAAGUCGCUGAUGGUGACAAGAUCACCGGAGAGGUCCCCAAUCAGCACUAGAUCAUCUAUAUCCAAUACUGGCCAUAAUAGCCCCAGUUCAAGCAGUUAUAUUUCUUCCCCACAAUAUAACCGGAGGAUUCAAACAUCACGUUCGCUAUCACACACUCGAUCGGCGACGCCUUUAAAAGAGAACAGGAGCUCAGCAGCUUCCCCUACAUUUGAACCAUUGCGUGCACUGCCAACCUCGGUCACCUCAAGAAAAGCACUACCCUCGACUUCGACUCCGGUUAAUUUUAAAUCUACACGCAAGAAGUGUUUUUGGAAAGCAAAGCUGCUCAGCAGCAUUAACGUAGCGCAUACGAGGACGCGCUCGAGUUCACUGCCCUCAGAGAGGAAACCAGAAGCGGCCAAGCAGAGUGUGUCUGCGUCAGAGCUUUCUACAGCUAAUCUCAGCAAUGAUGCAGCAGACGUAGAUGCACUGCAGAAAAAUAUAACGGCCAUGCACAAAUUUUUAACGACAACUGCCAGUUAUAAGCAAAAUACGCACGACAACGCUGAAGGAGUUAGGAGCGUGGCAGCAACAACGCUGGAAACUUCAGCGGGGCCUGAAUUUAAAGAGACUACUGCCCUAUAUAGGCCUCCCUCUAUUGGAACUGUUCAUAUGUCGUUUGUAGAGCGAACGCCUGUGGUCACGGAGGCUUUAUUAAAUGGCCAAAACUUAGCUCCGCCAGUGACGUCUGGUAGCAGUCCGAGGACAAGUGGUGUAGGCAUUGUAAUAACUGAAUCGUCUGUUCUAAGAACACAGGAAGAUGGAAGAAUAAACUCAUCGAAAGAUUUAUUGGAAAAAGUUAUCGUCCCAGAAAUUCUCAGAAACGCCACUGUAAACGUUCAACGACAUCAGGAUGAUGGGCGGACGAAAACAGGCACCACCCCUGUCGCAGAAAACGAAGUCUUGCCACUGCAGUCGUCAGAAGAUGCCAUGAAUACUGCUGGGGAAGAAAUCUCGGGACCGGAAGAGGCCGAGAAGCCUAAAGAAAUGAGAAAUAAGUCGAGUGAUUCUACAUCGAGUCAACAUGAAGCUUCCAUGACUGAUCUGUAUGACAAGCACACGACCGAUUUGCUACAAAUGCCAGGAACUGACAAACGCGAACAAAGCAUUGAAGAGAAAAUGCACGUCGAUUCGCAACCUCCAUUGCCUUUUCAAGUAUCUAGAAAAGCUUCACUCGAGACAGUGUCACACGAUUCCUCAGGUGUAGCAGUACCGGUGAAACAGACAACGACGGCUCUAGAUCAACAAUCACUGAAAAUGCAAGAGACCACUACUGAAAACUUUGCAAGCAAAUAUGUGAGUGCAUCUGAGACAUUGGCAAAGCUACCAGAAAGUGAACUAACGACAGUACUGACUCUAAUAUGGGCACCGAAGACAACUGCGCAUAGUGCUUUUCCUAGGCAGAUGGCACCUCUAGAUAUUACGGCGGUGAUGAGCUCCGCAGAACAAAGGGGCUCAGCAGAGUCAAGAAGAGAAACCACGUCCACAAUUGCAACUACCGCAGACCCCACCCCUGAUCAGAGCACAGGCGGUGGAAUUGCGGGAAUUGCUAGUGCCGCAGUUUCAACCAUAUCUAAGGAAAGCAGUAAUGGUAAACUCAAAGCAGCGUUGGGCUCAACUGUAAAGAAAGCCGCUGGCAUUAGAGAGGACGAAGAGUCAACUUGGACAACAGCGCGUACAGAUGCUACUAUAGCACUACCCACGCAUAACAUAAACACCCCCUAUAUUGAAAGCCACAGCAGAUUGUCUACCGAGCACGAAGCAGGUUUCGUGUCCCCGCAUACGACUACUCACGACGCAAGACCACAGACAAGUGAAGACAUGCUCGAGGAAUCUCUUCCAGUAUUGGAAUCUACUUCGGAAGCGACCUUACUUUCGUAUGCUCCUCGCGACGUCACUGACUUGGCAGUAUCAACUUUACCGUCACCAUAUCUAGUUACACUACCCGCAGAACUAACAGACAAAAAAUAUGAAGACACAUCACGAACAUCUAGCAGCGUCGAGGUGCAAGGCGAAGCUCCAGAACGAAAAAAUCAAGCUGAUUUCAAACGAACGUUGACUAUAGAAGAUAAAAAGAUUUCAGCUACUGAUUCAAGUACAAAUCAUCCGGGGGGGUACUAUGAAGCUAACAAAGUAAAUAAUGCUUUGCCCUCGACUUUGGGAGCAGCUACCACGCUGACACCAUUGACAGUACAAAGAAGUGAUAGCCUUCCAUUAUCAGUUACAGCAAGUUACACUGAAACACGUUCCGAACCAAAGGCUGUUAUCUGGACGGAAAAUGACAGAAAAGCAACAACAGUGAGCGCUGAUGUUGUGUCACUAUUUCUCGAGAAACAUGUAACUAACGCCGGUGGCAAGGAUACUCAGAGUAUUAAUAUUUUCUAUCCAACCAGCACAUCAUCACAAGAGACAUCUACCACCCCACUUUCUACAGCACUACUAACAUAUAGCUCUCCUCCAUCAAAUCGUGACUUGACAACUACAGUGACGCCGCCGACUUUGUGUACAAGUAUCAAAGAUGAUAAACUGCAAAUAAUAGCAGAAACAAGCACACAGAAGACACAGGCACAAACUUCCCACGCUGACGCUAUAAAUGAUUUUCAAAGCAAAGUAAAUACUGUCGUGUCCCUGCAUCGCAAUGACACCGAAAACGUGGCACCACUGAAUCAAAUAAAAGAAACGUACCCUAUGUCAAAUGUUAGCAAUGACAUCAGAGAAAAUUUGAAUGCGCAUUCAAAUGAGCAUGGGUUGGCAGAGAGCCUGAAAUAUAAUUAUUCGUCCUCAGAUAUUGCCGAUCAGUGGCUAGCUUCAACGAUAACCGCAUCCACAUCAAUGGUCUCAACUACAGAAGCCUACGGUCAUCAUACGCCGUUUGCUGUUAUCCAGGAACUGGCAACAGCUACUUAUCUUAAUAAAGCUUAUACGACGCAAACGCCUAAAGAUGUUGAAAGUUCGGAGUAUUCACCGACAACUGAAGGAAAUCGUUCAUCCGUCACCGAAUCGGUGCCUUUGGAAGACCUUGGUCCUGACGUGGCUACUGAAGCAGCACCACACAUGGCAUCUAAUAACCUUACAAUCGACAGUGCUGUCCUCAGAGAAAGUGGCACCAAAAUAUCGUUAUCAGACGCUACAACACCACAGGAAAAUGAAACCGGAAAAAAUUAUUCUACGAUUCCAGAAGGCUAUCAAGGGGACAGCCAUGAUGCUUCCCUCUCCUUGUCCGAGUUGCAUCUCUCGAAGUCUUCCGGAGGAAGAAAAUUUCUAAAUCCUUCAAUCACAGUUCACCUGUCAACACGCUAUCCUGGAGAGGCAAAUGGUGUUACUGAGACCACAAGUGACACCCCAACAGCUAUCCCUAAAGAAGUGAGAAACGAUGCAGCAACAGACGUUACAUAUACGAAAACACUAAAGACUUCUACAAGGUCCCCACAAAUAUUCACGGAGAAAGUGCUGCCUCAAGAAGUCGAGAAUCACAUGUCAAGUAAAGAGCACUUGCCGUUCAAAUCGACUGGAGAUACAAAUGCGCACUUGAAAGCCGAAGCCUCGACUCAGAGUUGGGAGUCCCCCACGGCGGUAUUAUUCAGGCCACCCAAUGACGCUGAAUGGGAACACAGAGAAGAUAAUCUUAAAAGUGAUAAAUCUAGUGUUGGUACACCUGUUUCCUCGCCUUUGUCAACGGCGAUAUUGCACAUUAACACAAACACUUUCUCUACUGUGAUUGAAGAAGUCUCAAGCAUGAAGAGCGAUAAAACCUCAACAGUUAGGCCACAGCUGACAACAGAAGUGAAUGAAUAUGCUACAUUAGGAACGAAAACGCUAGUUACUUUAGGUACUACCACUUUUGCGCCGACUGUUACAUCAGCGCCUAUGACAGAAAAAGCUAAAACCUGGACGGCGUUGUCGAUCCCGAGCUCUAGGCUGCAGGAGAAAACGACAAAGGCUCCUCUGUGCAAAUCUACCUUUGGCCUCUUUCGUCACCCUACUAAUUGCAAUCUUUUUGUU